Molecule: ribosomal RNA, 253 nt
Filed under: uncultured bacterium
Lineage: Bacteria
Description: partial 16S ribosomal RNA
Rfam family: Bacterial small subunit ribosomal RNA
Source: RNAcentral
GACAGAGGUGCCGAGCGUUAGGCGGAAUCACUGGGCUUAAAGCGUGUGUAGGCGGAUCGUUAAGUACCUUGUGAAAUCCCACGGCUCAACCGUGGAACUGCUGGGUAUACUGGCGGUCUUGAGCCACCUAGGGGCGAGCGGAACAAGCGGUGGAGCGGUGAAAUGCGUAGAUAUCGCGUGGAACGCCAACGGUGAAAACAGCUCGCUGGGGGUGUGCUGACGCUGAGACACGAAAGCCAGGGGAGCGAACGGG